This 422-nucleotide ribosomal RNA is filed under the name uncultured bacterium. RNAcentral describes it as "bacterial SSU rRNA". It matches the Rfam family "Bacterial small subunit ribosomal RNA", at positions 355 to 774 of the family's 1533-position model. The record is from RNAcentral.
UGAGGAAUAUUGGGCAAUGCCCGAAAGGGUGACCCAGCAACGCCGCGUGGAGGAUGAAGGUCGUAAGAUUGUAAACUCCUGUUAGAGGGGAAGAAUAACUAAGAUUGGAGCAUAGUAUGACUGUACCCUCAGAGAAAGCCCCGGCUAACUACGUGCCAGCAGCCGCGGUAAUACGUAGGGGGCAAGCGUUGUCCGGAUUUACAGGGUGUAAAGGGAGCGCAGGCGGGAUAAAAAGUCAGUGGUGAAAUCCUACAGCUUAACUGUAGAACUGCCUUGGAUACUUUUAUUCUUGAGUUCGGGAGAGAGAGGUGGAAUUCCAGGUGUAGUGGUGAAAUACGUAGAUAUCUGGAAGAACACCAGUGGCGAAGGCGGUCUCUUGGUCCGACACUGACGCUGAGGUGCGAAAGCGUGGGGAGCAAACA